This is a long non-coding RNA of Nicotiana attenuata, 7610 nucleotides long. RefSeq lists it as uncharacterized. The transcript is spliced from 4 exons. Lineage: Eukaryota; Viridiplantae; Streptophyta; Magnoliopsida; Solanales; Solanaceae. The record is from RefSeq and is a predicted model, not a curated record.
GCUAUUUAUUAAAUGUGCUUAUAUGUGCUACUUCAAAUCACCCAAUCCAAGGCUCUUAGUCGCUUAAUCCUUGUCAUUUUUACUGUGCUUUUUUGCUUUCAUAAAUUGAAUAACAAUUCCUGAAAUUUAAAGUGAUAUUUUUGACAGGAAAUUGAGGUUUUUGCUGAAUUUUUCGCAGUUUCACAUUUGCUCCACUACGAUAACCACAGUUUGUUGGAGCCUUGGAGAUGAGACAACAUACGUUCUUUCCUUAGGAUUGGAAAUAUUUGUUGGUGUUGAUGAGACACCAGACCUAUGAGAAUGAGGCUCUACCAUUGAUAUUUGAUAUAUCAAAUAAGGCUAUUGCAGGUACUCCCACAAGAUUUACUUUGCUUUAUGAUCAUCCUUUUGUUGGUGAGCUUGUGGUUAAUAAUAUUAUGUUAAUAAAUAAUUACUUAUUUAGUACUCCCUCUGUUCCAAUUUAUGUGAACCUAUUUCCUUUUUGGUCCGUUCCAAAAAGAAUGACCCCUUUAUGAAUUUGGUAACAAUUUAGCUUAAACUUACAAUUCUACCUUAAUGAGAAGCUUUUAUAACCGCAUAAACACUCUGGGCCCCUUUUAGACUUGUUUAGGACCAUAAAUUCCAAAAGUCUUUAUUUUUUCUUAAACUCCGUGCCCAGUCAAACAGGUUCACAUAAAUUGGAACGGAGGGAGUAGUAUUUUAACUUAGAGACAAACUGCAAGAAGAUGGGUAAUGGUAACUCCACUGCACUCAUACAACAGAAAUGCAUUAGAAAAAUAGAAUGAUAAAGUCAAAUUAGACAGAAUUGAGAAAGUGAAACUAAAACAAACAGAUUGUUGCUGAGUUGUGAGUACCUAAAAGUUGCUGAGUACGCUGGUUAUCAGAUAAGAAUGCUAUAUCAAGCGUUGUUGGAUAUUAGGUUUGGGUUGUGGGUCACCCAUGUGGACCGACCCGACCCAUUUUAGAAGAGAUUUAACUUAAGGAGGUUACUAAGAGGUUUUAUUACUCCUAAAAACUACCACACGUUAUUUGAGAGAUGUGAGAAUGUGGAGUGGCGGUUUUCAUCGGUAGUUUUUCCUCUAUUCCUCUUCUAUAUAUCUGUCCUACAGAAGAUCUCUCAAGGGUGAAAAAACUUUCUCUUCUUCUCCCAACAAAACACACGUACAAAGAAGGAAGGCUUUAGUUUGUCAAAUAAACUUUGUUUCCUGGUGAUUCAAAAUUCGACUUGGGGCAGUUCUUUUGGUGGUGAGUUCAACGAUCUCCGCUGCGACAAAAAGGUACACAACUUGUUGUUCUCACUCCUCAUUUUUUCUAACAAGCGUGCACCACAGACAUUUGCAUUGUUUUGAUUGAAUCUCAUCUGGGUGUACUCCGCUCCAUCAUAUCUUCCUCUGUAUACCUCCCUACUUUCUCCUUUAGUUCUCGAUUUCUCUCCGUAGAUUCUCAUUCUGUCAAUAACAAUGCUUCUGAUGAGGCUUUCUGUAUUAUUGUAUUUUCUUUCUUCAAUUUGACUUUUUAUUACGUAACAACUGCCAUGUUGAAUGUACUUGUCCUACUUUAAUCCAAGCUUGGCCUUUCUUUUCGUUUUUAGGUGGAAUGAGGGUUGUACUGGAACUACUGCUUUUAUUCUUCUUUCGUUCUCUUGUUAUCUCUAUCAAAAUUUCUGCUGGCGUCUUCUCACUUUUGAUGGUGUAUUGCAUUUGGUAGAUGUAUGGUUUUGCAUUGAUAGUAGGGUUAACAUUUCCAGGUUAACUGACUUUUAAAUUGCUAAAGGUCAAUUUCUGUCUAUUGUGAAUUUGUGAUGUUCUGCAUGUUAAUUUUGUAAUACAAGCUUUCAACUAGCUGAGUUAGGUCUUUGACUUCUUACUUUCUGCAAUUUUAUUCAACAACAAUGUAUACACUGAUGCAGUCUUAGGGGUUGAUUAUCAUUUCAGUACUACUAUUUCAUUAGACUCAUGGGACGCGAGGUUAGUUUUAUCUCUACAAUGAUAAGGCCGAUGUUGCAGUUAGAACAUGGAGCUUCUUACAUUUUCCAAAUGUUCAUGCUUAAGAAGUGUUAACUGAUCUUGCAGGUAAUUCUUGUCUUCAUCAGAGAGCAAGACCUGUCAAAGCAUUAGCGAUAAGCUACAUUCUGAAAUAACAAACACGAUAUGGUUUAUUUUGUUACAAUGGUGUAAAAUAUAUGUACUUCAGCUGAAUAUUACACUCUUUAUGCUGACAAAUAGUAUUCAUCGAACUGAAAAAUGCUAUAAUUUGAAGUGUUUGGUGCUUGUACGGGCCGAUCCUAUCUAGUAUUAUAUAUUUCCUACUAUUUAGAAGCGAGAAUAAGGAGCUCUUCGUCGUCCUCCUUUUACGGGUAAUUACAUGUAUGCCCUUAGGUUUUCUUAUCACCCUCAGUUACUUGGGGACAUUUAUGUAAAUUUAUUCUGUUCUUGGGCGGUGGUUGAUCAGCCCUCCUUGAUCUUUUGCUCCCCCUCUCUCUCUCUUACUAUUGAUCUUUUGCUCCCUCUCUCUCUUACUAUUUGUUGCUGUGACGACGGCGACCAUGGUGUAACAGACAUCAACGGAGAUCAGCAUGCGUGGGAAUGAGUAUUAGCAUGGUGUAACUUGGCCAGAGUUAUGUCACCGAUGACUGGACAACCAUGAUAAAUAUCAGACUGUUAUCUGGAAACGACUGGAAACUCAAAAAAGAAGCGGUCGAGGCUGGUAAAUGGUGCUAUUGAACUACUAUUGUCGAUUUUGACGGUAAUUUGUUUUUUCAUACCGAAAUUAUUCAGCUUUGAGUAUCUUGUGGGGUUUCAGAUGCCAUAUUUUUUCUCUCGUUUUGAAUAUAUAAUUCGGCGUAAUUUCACAAAAAACUAAGGUAAAUUGGUGUAAUUUUACUUUUUUCAGAAAGUUAGCAUCUCUGCUUAUGAUGUGUCCUCAUUAACCAACAUGUAAUUCUCCAAAUUUCAUUUAAGGACCUUUUACGGUUAAAAGAAUGAUAAUUUCUUAAAGAGAUUUGCAAAUUUCUUUGGUUUCAAUCAUUAUUCAAAAGUACUUGCAGUGGUGCCUAUUGCAUUUGCAAUUUGAUUUGUUUCCAUAGGCUGAAAGCAGAUUGAUUGUGUUUUUCUUUUUGUGCCUGCUCUGGGAGGUCGAGAGGUGCUUCAUUAUUAUGUUUUAUCAUAGUCAUCCGACACGUGGCUAACAGUGGCGGAUCCAGAAUUUUCAUGAAGGGGUGUCAAAAUAUAAAUAAUUAGAUACAUCGAAAAGUCAAGGGGAGUCAACGUAUAGUAAAUAUACAUAAAAUAAAAAAAUUUAUCUAGCAAAAUAGUGUAAUUUUCCGGCGAAAGGGUGUCACUUGACACCCCUUGCUUCGAUGUGGCUCCGCCACUCGUGGCUAACAUCAUUAAAUAGUGUGACCAGGUGAGAUUUCUAAUUAGAAAUUUCACUAAGAUGGCCCAUAAAGUAAACGAUUUUUUCUUAGUACAUUAUCUUCACUUGUUGUUGUAUUCAUUCUCAAAUACAGAACUUCCUUCUAAUUAACACUUGGAUAACUCAUGAUAUGGUAAGAUAUCUGUUGUUUACUCUUUAUUAUGUCAUGUUGGGUAACACUUCAUUUAAAUUAUUUAGACAUAGCAGUGAUACUAAGUAUUUUGGAGACUUCAACCAGUAGUAAGAUUUUUGUUUAUACUCUCAAGUAACUGAGAUAGGCCGUAACAUCAAUCAAAUAGUAAGAUUUCAAGUUGAUAGUAGUGGUAGUGAAUAUAGUAAGGAAUAUAGAUAUCAACAGAGUGUGAAGAAAUUUCUUAGAGGGAGGAGUGAGAGACAUUUAAAAAUAACAAGUUCUGAAGUUUAAAAGUGGAGUUGAAUACCCAAUCCUUAUAAGAACUGACACCAUUUUUCUUGUGUUCUCCUUCAUUUCUGUGGAAGGAGUUCAAAUUAUAUUACUAUAUGCAAGUACUUGAUCACUUCAAAUAAAGACGCAUAAUCUAUUCAAAGUAUUGGGGUGGCUCUACUUUAGAAUCCCACUUCUUCUUAACUUCCUUAUCGUUAUACAUAUCUUUGACAAGUAUUUUUGUUUGGGAUGUAAUUUAGGUUAUAUUCAAGUAAUUGUCCUUCUAAUUUGAACGAGUUUAUUUGAUUUUACAUAAUGUACUAUAACUUAAAGAAUGAGUCAGACCUCUCUAUAACAACAUCCCUAUAUAACAACAUUUCACUAUAAAAGCCAAGCUUUUCCGGAACCAAUUUUCAUGUUAUAUUAUACUAUAUGUUCUCUAUAACCGCACUUUGCUAUAACAUCCAAAACUAUUCGGAAAAAGGAGGUUGUUAUAGAGAAGUUUGACUAUACUUAAUUUUUAGAUGAUCAUUAUUUUCGCUGUAACAGUUGAUUAGUAUAACUGAUCAUGUGAGUGAUGUGCCUCCAAAAGAGAAGUACCGGGGUACCUUUUGUUUGUUGUUUCAAGUCUCGAAGAAGAUAUGGAUUCAAUUAGCUCACGAAAAUGAAAAUGAAUAACAUUCCUCUUCCUUGUUUAAUGGCGGUAACAGAUAGUGAUUAGCAUCAAAUGGCUAACAACCAAAUGAAUGCUUCACUGCUACUAUGGUAACACAUUCAUGGACACUGAGAAAUAAGAUAUUUUAUUGUAUAAGUGACUACUUCCUUCAAAAUAAGUUUCAUGAGGCAAUUAUUCCAAAAAGAUAUGGGCAAUUUGGAAGAAAGUGUGACUGUUGUGGUGCUCAGCCAGAAGAGAACUUCCCAGCUCUAUGGGAAUUGAAUUCAGACCAGUACUAUAUUUUUGGGAGGUGGUCAAGUCUAGCUGCAAAAUAUUCUAGGUUUGCAUGAUCUUAUAUGAGUGCAACUCUAUUGCCUCCCCUAUAUAGUUCUGUUUGUAGUAGAAAAUUUCAAUAAUUAAUUUUUUUUUGUUAUUGAAAUGUUUAUAUUUAUCGGUCUCGGUAAUUUCUUAGACAGAUUGUUAUGCUAUGCUUUUUGAGGUGGACUGCACGAGUAUAAAGAUGAAAAGAAGAAGAUGCAGACAGAUAUUAUAAAAUGGGAGAACGUAUAGGAGUCCGCUCUAAGCGAGCUGAUGAUGAGACCAACUUUUUGUUGGAGGUUUAAACGGAUGACUAAAUUCCAUUUCAUUCGAAAUGAACUACAUGACUCUCGCUAACUGCAUCAUUUUCUUUAGAUAAAUGAUUAUUAGCUUUUAGAGUGGAUUUUUCCUCGGCUCUAUUUAUUGUCGUGAUUGUUGUCUUAGUCAACAAGAUGGGAAACUUUCUAGAAAAAAACUUACAAACUGGGAGGAUGAUCCUCCCCGUGAACUGACUGGAUCCCCAAUUAACACGGGUGAACAAAUAGAGUAUAGUAGGAUGCUUGGGAAAAUCACUUACGUACUGCGACGUGCAAACCUACAGCGUGCCUGGUGAGUCACCAUUAAUAAUUGACUUAGAAAGGUGAACGCCUUGGCUAGAAAAGCGCGGUGAAUAAAUAUUUGGUAAACAACAUAUUCUUUUUGAAGGUAGAGGGACUUGAACCCUACAAUUUGGAAAGUCCUGAUUUCAGCUUCUUUACCUAGCUGAUUGUAUUUGUAAUAGCUUUUUUGUAUCCUUCCUAAUAAAUCCAAUGUUCUCAAAGGGACGUGUUUGUAAUAGUUUUGACUAAAACCAUAAAUGCUUCGCUUGAAUGGAUUAUUUAUAUUUGCAUUAUAUGUUGCAAAGUUUUUUGUGGUGUUUUUAAAUUAUUUUUAUUUCUUGUGCAUUUCGUGUGUUUGAAUCUAUCUGUUGACACUUCCUCAAUGCUGUUUGGUUGCUUUCUCUCUCAGCAAAUGUUAAUAUUUUUACUAUUUUUGUUGUGUCACUGACUUCUUCUGAGCACUUCCUGCAAAAAUUAAAAUUGCUUUGAGAACUCUAAAAGGACUGCAUAAAGGGAUUAUUUAGAGAUAAUCUUGGUCUUAACAAUGAGGAGGAGAUAUUUAAGCAAGAAGGUGGAUAUUUCAAGAGACCAACUGAUGAAGUGAUCACAAGGAGAAGAAUAGUUAAGUUCAUUGCCAUCAAAAGGCAUCAAUUACAACCGCUCCUUCAUCUAACCCUUCUUACAGGGAUCCACUCAGUUCCACCUACUGGUACCAUAUCACUUUAAAAGUGCAGUAAAAAGACGGACAAGCUAAGACUUAGCAAUUAUUUUCUCAAGAAUCUGGUGUCCCCUUGCUGAAGUAAGAAAAAAGAAAAAGAGAUCCAAUAUAUUCUAUUGUUGUUAGGUUCAUCGCUGUUACACUGUAAGUUUUGAUAUUUUAUGUCUCUUUUUUUCUUCCUCUAGUGGAAUCAGCCACUAAUGCUUCAUUUGAGAAUGUUGCUUACAUCACACUCCUUGGGUGCGAUUCUUCCCCUGACACUGCGUCAAUGCAGGAUGCUUUGUGCACUAGGUUGCUCUUUGUCUGCUUUCUUUUUUUUUGGGUCGUGCUGAUUGAUCUUUUUGGAGAUUCCAAAUCAAAAUGGUCCAUGGAUUGGUAAUAUCUUUUCAUAGAUGCACGACUUUGGAGAAUAAGAAUUUUCUUAUGUGACAGUUAGGUACAUGUCACAGAUUUAAACCUCGCCACGCCAUAGGCAAAAGCCUGGUAUUAAAGUGUAUAAGGGGGUGAUACUCAGACAUUAUGCAUAUCAAUGACAAGUAUCUCUGAAAUUGGGAUGUAAUUUUAGAUUAUAUUCAUUUGGUAUUUCGUUUGAAAUCAUACAUAUUUUUUUCUUAGUGAUUUUUGGUUGGUUGUUUUAAGUCUCAAAAAAGAUAUUGAUCCAGUUAGAUCGUAUAAAUAAAAGGAAAAAGAAUCAUAUUCCUUGUUUAAUGCUGGAUCAUAUCGAAAAUAGAUACUGAUUGGUGAUUGAGCUUUUCGACAUACACAAAUGGAUAUCAAAAUAGAAGAAGAUUAAUACUGUUGUGGUACUCGGCCAGGAGAGGAUUUGCCAGCUCUAUAGGAAAUGAAUUCAGACCAGCAUUAUACUUUUGGGAGGCAUGAAUCAAGUCUAGCUGCAGAAAACUCGAGGUUUGGGCCCGGGCUCAGCACGGGUCAUUUCUCACUAGUACUUAUAUAGAAGAGCGCAGAAGCAGCUCUCCGUCGACAUCCCUGCUUGCCAUAGAGGACAGCUUGGUCUUUUUACAAUUCUAUGCUAGGUAGAAUUUCUGUUGUGCCCCUAUGUCUACUCUUUUGUGCUGUUGGGUGAAGUUCUAAAUAGGAUAAGCUUUUGAAUAUUGUUAGAUUGCUGCGCCAGGGGGCUGCUGUUGAAUUCAGAUUUCCUCUCUCUCUUGGAACUUAUGUGCUAAUUUUCAGUUCAGUACAGUUGAGUAGAAACUAGGAAUUUAUUCAGCGAGCACCCUAUUUUCCUUGUCAAAUUUCUUUCUUCUCUAUGCCCCACCUAUGAGAUGGAUGGAGUUUCUAUUUUUCUCCUUAAUCAGAUGAAAUCAAAAUUUGGAUGUACGUAACUCGUGUUCUUCUGUAUUACAAAUCAAAUGGCAAAGUGGUUGUUAGAUCUAAUGAGAGGGAUCGGAGUAGUUAGUUAUCCAUUCUUUAGUUUGACCUUGUAAACAUGAUGGGUGCUCAAUAAUUUGAUCAUUAUAUAUACAACUAUUAAAUGUUGCAUAU